This 23-nucleotide non-coding RNA is filed under the name Arabidopsis thaliana (thale cress). The record is from RNAcentral. Lineage: Eukaryota; Viridiplantae; Streptophyta; Magnoliopsida; Brassicales; Brassicaceae.
AUAGGAUUCCAUGAAAAAUCCUA